GGGGCGUUUGCCCUAGACGCCCCCGAAUCGUUCCGGGGUCGAUCCAGGCGCGCUCUACGGUCGAUUUGGAGGCGAUCGGUGUAUGUACCUCGCCGCCGCCGGACCCCUAUGGACCCUCCAAAAUCGAGUGGUCCCAGGGGGGCCGUUUUCUAGAAAUGGACCCUCUGGCCAAACGGACCCUCUGGCAGGACGGCCCCUCGGGCCAAAUGGUCCCUCUGGACCAGACGGACCCUCUGGGCCAUUUUCACAAAAUGGACCCUCUGGCCGAGGGGCCACGGCCCCCCUAGGGGGGCCAUUUGGGGCCGAAAAAAAAAAGUGCUCCAAAUCGCUCCGGGGUCGAUCCAGGCGCGCUCUACGGUCGAUUUGGAGGCGAUCGGUGUAUGUACCUCGCCGCCGCCGGACCCCUAUGGACCCUCCAAAAUCGAGUGGUCCCAGGGGGGCCGUUUUCUAGAAAUGGACCCUCUGGCCAAACGGACCCUCUGGCAGGACGGCCCCUCGGGCCAAAUGGUCCCUCUGGACCAGACGGACCCUCUGGGCCAUUUUCACAAAAUGGACCCUCUGGCCGAGGGGCCACGGCCCCCCUAGGGGGGCCAUUUGGGGCCGAAAAAAAAAAGUGCUCCAAAUCGCUCCGGGGUCGAUCCAGGCGCGCUCUACGGUCGAUUUGGAGGCGAUCGGUGUAUGUACCUCGCCGCCGCCGGACCCCUAUGGACCCUCCAAAAUCGAGUGGUCCC
Molecule: unclassified non-coding RNA, 731 nt
Filed under: Trichophyton tonsurans
Lineage: Eukaryota; Fungi; Ascomycota; Eurotiomycetes; Onygenales; Arthrodermataceae
Description: partial miscellaneous RNA
Source: RNAcentral